This 119-nucleotide ribosomal RNA is filed under the name Cebus imitator (Panamanian white-faced capuchin). The record is from RNAcentral. Lineage: Eukaryota; Metazoa; Chordata; Mammalia; Primates; Cebidae.
GUCUACAGCCAUACCACCCUGAACGUGCCCUAUCUCAUCUGAUCUCACAAGCUAAGCAGGGUCGGACCUGACUAGUACUUGGAUGGGAGGCCGUCUGGGAAUACCAGGUGCUGUAGGCU